Non-coding RNA from Ixodes scapularis (black-legged tick), 45 nucleotides. The record is from Rfam. NCBI's taxonomy places the organism in Eukaryota, Metazoa, Arthropoda, Arachnida, Ixodida, Ixodidae.
ACAACGGCUCUUUUCAGAGCCAAAUAAACAUGCUUAUGGGGGGGA